Molecule: ribosomal RNA, 253 nt
Filed under: uncultured bacterium
Lineage: Bacteria
Description: partial 16S ribosomal RNA
Rfam family: Bacterial small subunit ribosomal RNA
Source: RNAcentral
UACGUAGGGACCAAGCGUUGUUCGGAUUUACUGGGCGUAAAGCGUGCGCAGGCGGUUUUGUAAGCCAGAUGUGAAAUCCCCGGGCUCAACCUGGGAAUGGCAUUUGGGACUGCAAGGCUGGAGUUUGGCAGAGGAGACUGGAAUUCCCGGUGUAGCAGUGAAAUGCGUAGAUAUCGGGAGGAAUACCGAUGGCGAAGGCAGGUCUCUGGGCUAUAACUGACGCUCAUGCACGAAAGCGUGGGGAGCAAACAGG